Molecule: ribosomal RNA, 253 nt
Filed under: uncultured bacterium
Lineage: Bacteria
Description: partial 16S ribosomal RNA
Rfam family: Bacterial small subunit ribosomal RNA
Source: RNAcentral
UACAGAGGUCCCGAGCGUUGUUCGGAUUCAUUGGGCGUAAAGGGUGCGUAGGCGGCGGAGCAAGUCUGAUGUGAAAUCCCGGGGCUCAACCCCGGAACUGCAUUGGAUACUGCCGUGCUUGAGGACUGGAGAGGAGACUGGAAUUUACGGUGUAGCGGUGAAAUGCGUAGAUAUCGUAAGGAAGACCAGUGGCGAAGGCGGGUCUCUGGACAGUUCCUGACGCUGAGGCACGAAGGUCAGGGGAGCAAACGGG